This is a long non-coding RNA of Canis lupus familiaris (dog), 1474 nucleotides long. RefSeq lists it as uncharacterized. The transcript is spliced from 5 exons. Lineage: Eukaryota; Metazoa; Chordata; Mammalia; Carnivora; Canidae. The record is from RefSeq and is a predicted model, not a curated record.
CACACCAGGCCUGUCAGCUUCCCCAGGAGCUAGCUGUCUGAAGCCCCGGCAAGUUACCUGUCUGGCCCAAGGUCACGGGGCUAAGGGACGGGCAAGGCCGGCCCACGCUGGAGACCCCAGAGCUGUGCGGCCCUGCCUCCCUGGAAGUUCUUCACAACUAACCCCAGGUCGGGGAGGAAACCUGUCGUCGGGAGGCAAAGAAACGGCACGGCCAAGGUCACCGGGCUUACAAGCGCUGGGAACAGGGAUCCCGCGGCUCAGUGAUGUUUACAAUAACCCAGGGAGGACUGGUAUCAACUGGUAUCAACACUUUACAGAUGAGGAAACUGAGGCUCAGAAAACUGCAAUGACCAUCAAAGAAUGCAUAGCUAGUCAAAGACGGAGCUGGGACCAGAAUAUGGGUCUUUUGAUCCUGUACUGAGUGCUCACCCUCUACAAAUCAUGUGGCAGGAACUGCAAAAGUAAUGCUACAUCCAUCUGACAUUAUUCGGAAGGGAAAGUGAAGAUGCCAACAUUAAUGAGCUCCUACUGUGUGCCAGGCAUUUUACAGACAUUAUUUCUUUGCAGCCCUUUGAGCUGCCAUUGGUAGGAUGAUGCCUCUUUCUCAGUAGCUCCAGGAGGAUGCGUGUGGUUGGCUGGGCUUGGGUCACAUGCCAUCUAAGAAGCCAGGUGGACUCAGUUCCACCAGCAGCACAUGGAAUGAGGAGUGGUGGCUCCUGGAGCAAAAUAAGGGUACUGUUUCCAGAGGGAGGAAGAAUGGAUGCUGGACAUUUAUGAAUGCUGUCAUGGGCAAGACGGGGAUGGAAUUGUCAAAGUCUGUGUGGGUUUGUAUAUGGUUGGAUGCUUAGUUAAAUAUGGACCAUAACCAAAAUAUUCUCUCUGCCUGGAAUCUGCCACACUUCCCCAGUUCCCAGCCCAUCCACAUUCAGGGGCACUCUGCCUUCUGCCCUUAGCUCCCCAUCUCUCUCCCUCUGAAUGGGCUGGUUCUGACUCAGCUUUAGUUAACUGUUGCCAUUUUGGAACUCUGGCUCAGAGUUGCCAAGCCUUCUGAUUCGUCUUUUAAGUCAAGCCAGAAAUCAAAAUUAAUUUGUGAAAAACAGUUCAAAUUUUUAAAAUACACUAUUGGACCAAAUGAACACGUAUGUGGGCUACAUCUGACCUGCACAUUGUAACUAUUGCCCUAAAUCGUUCUCUCCUACUAAAUGUAGGACUUCAGUGUUCUGAUUUUUCCACUAGUCUGCCUGUUGCACUACUAACGUCUUAAGGGUAGGGAACAUGUUUCUGUUCCUCUUUGUAUCCAUAGCACCCAGCACAAUGCCUGAUACAUAAUAACCACUUAACAAUUCUUUCAUUGAGGAGCACCUGGGUAGCUCAGUGGGUUAAGUGGUUGCCUUUGGCUCAGGUCAUGAUGGAGCCAGGUCCUGGGAUCAAGCCCCGUGUAGGGCUCCCUGGUCAGCAGGGAAUCUGCUUCUCC